CUUAUGUUAGAUGUAUUCAUUUAUUUCUAUUCACCAUGUUUGUCUCAAGGUAUUGUAAAAUGUAUAUUUGCUAGAACAGUAGGAAAUCUUUUAAGAUUAUCAAAAUAGUUGAAUUAUUAAUAUUGUUGAAAUAAUUGAAAUGAAGAAUGAUUUUACAGCUAUCACAUGAGUGCCUAAAGGGAUGCAUGGGCUAUGGUGAUUGCCUCACCAAAGCUAUUUGACAACUCUAAAGGAGAGCUUGAGGUCAGACCAGAUAUUAUAAAAUUAUUCAUAUAUGGCCAGCUAUAAUGAGGUAGGAAUUAAGUUAUCCCUUGUUUUCUCUUCUAUUAACCAUGUUAUCAUAUAUUCUUGCUUAGUUUUUUCUUUAUUUUUAAGAAAAUAAGUGCAUAAUCCAAUCAUAUUCUUGCCUUCUUAUUUUAAAAAUGAAUUAGGUAACGUAUUAGGAUUGAUCAAGAAAUUCUUCUCAUUGUAUUUAAGAGUUUUCCCAUUAGAAAAAUAAAUUCAGAUAUUUCAUCUUCUUUAAGUUUCAAUUCUUUUAUGUUUUUUUGAUUUUUAUUGCUUGCAAAAAUAAAUUUUAGAUGUUUCCCCUAUGUCUCAAUUCUACUUUGUUUUUGCAUUAAUUGGAGAACAUUUUCUUGGUUAUGGAUUAAACCACACUUGUGUAUUUUAAGUUGAAAAUCAAAAAAUUUCAAAUCUCUGGUUAAUCUUUGAGGAUCUGAAUAAUGUCAUAUAUAACACGUAUAGAUUUGAUUAUCUGAUACAUAUGCACUGCUGAUAAUCUUAGAUUACAUUGUGAUGCUUGGAGAUUGCAGCUUGUUAAAUUGUAGAACUGCUGUAUUGAUAUUGUUAAGAUUUUCUUGUUAGAUAUUAAGAUUUAUAUAGAAAUUGUCCGACCAAAGGCUUUUUCCUUUAUUUUUUUUGAUUUUUUCAAAUUAUUCUGAUAUGACUAAGAUGUGCUUGGCAUAGAUUUUUGAAAUUAUAUAUCGCAUAACCUACUUUGGAUAUUGAUAGAUGGUAAAAGUUUACUUGGGAUAAAAUCUUUCACAGAUUUCAAUGGCAUAAGUUUCAUCCAUUAUUGCUCUCAUGGUUAAGUCACAGUAUCAUAUAUAUCAGUUCAAUAUUAUUGUACGUAUAUAUUUUAUAACAACUAAUUCAAUAUUUUGAUGUACUUUUAGCAUCAUAUAUCAAUUUAGUAUUAUUGUAUGCAUAUAUUUGAUCACAACUAAUUGAGUAUUUUGAUGUACUCUUGGCACCAAUAAAAAAUAAAAAAAUUGAAGAUAAUUUCUAUUGAAUACAGUUGUUCAUGUUGAUUCAACAAGAGUAAUUCAUAUGCUUUGUUUAUACACGAUACAAAUGCUUGUAGGAUAAUUUUCUGAUAUGUUUGAUGCUUAUGUUAAAUAUCCUAUUUUUACAAUUAAGAAAGCCUUCUAGAUACUUUGAGAUAUGCUCAAGAUACUUCUCUAAGAUUUUUCUUUAUUUUUCUUUCAAAAAGAAGAGCUAAGCAUUUAAUUUUGAAUGACCAAUUUUAGAGUUUAUGAUAUUGAUACUAUUAAAUAGAGUUAGGAUUAGGUUUAUGAAUUUAACAAUGAUUAAAUGAUGAGUUUGUAGAAGUUUAUGGAUGCUAUUUUGUAUAUUUACAUUUUUAUGCAUGCUUUUUUGUAUAUCUACAUUCAUAUGCAUAUGUUUAUUUUAAAUUCACAUAUAUUCCAGCCGUAUCAUAUCCUAUUUUUUCAAGAUUUGUCGUAUCAUAAUCGUAUCUGUUUCUUAUAUCUGUGCAUCUAUUUUUCAUAGGUGGGAAUGUGGACCACCAUUUUUAAAGAGCACAUCCUUAAAAAUUGGUAUACUAAGAUUAUGUUCACUUUGCCUGAAUUUGACAAUAUUGAAUAUUGAGAGGCCUUGUCUUGUUUAUACAUGGAAGUUAUAUAUGCAUUGCUUUUAUAGUUUUAUACUAAAUUCUUUGAGUCUUCUUUUAAAUAUUGAAUUUGUGCAUGUUGAGCUUCACCUUAGGUUAUUAUGAUGCAGUUAUAGUUGAUAUUCAAAGUAGAAAACAAACAAAGAACUUUCGCAUAGGUGUAAGUAUAGGGAUAUAUAUAGUUCAAUAUCGAAUUAAGAGAUGCCUUAUAAGGUAUAUACAUAGUUAAAUAUAUCAUUUUCAAGUGAUUACCAUAAUUAUUUCAAUAAAUUUAUUACUUGGAGUUGUUCAUUUCCUUGCAUCCAUGCACUCUUAUAGCUACACUUGUACCAACUUGCACAUGAUUGUGUGAGUACAUUGCACAUGUAUAUCUCAAGAUAUUGUAUUUGCAAAAAUCAGUAGAAUAACAUGCUAUGUUUUGGUGGUGCUGGCUUCAAUAUUAGUGCACUAGAUGGUGAGAGUAUACUUAUAGGUAACAAAGCUUCUUGCCGAGGCUUAAUAAUGAUAUGGGAGUGUUUGCAGCUAUUCGUGUCAUGUAGAAGCUAUCCAAGAUCCACUACCAGGUAGAAAAGUCGGAAUGUGGUUGUUCAUCUAGCCUGUCCUAUACUUGAUAGAAUAUUAUGGCUGUAAAAUUUUGAAGGCUUCACCAAAAUCAAAUGUUGAUAUUUAGUAUUAAGAUCGUAGCUCCUAAUCACUCUUCUAAAAGGUAAUUAUCCGAUUAAAAAAGAGAGAUUUAUUAGCCUUUAUCCACAAAGCACAGAAUCCUACGUCUAUAUGUGCUGCGGGUGGACCUGAGAGGCUCCGUACAGGAGUUGAUCUGCUUCAAGCUAGAUCGAUCCCAGUGGCAGAUGGAGUGGUCACUCUCUUUUUAAUUUUCCAACCGAAGCACAAGCUGACCCCCCAUAAAAGAUCAACCCUCCGAGAAUUGUUGCCACAUCACCAGCCACAUAAACUCCGCGUGGGGGCCCCAAAGGGUGUGCGCUAGAAUAUAGCCAACAAUCUCCUUCCCCUCCCUCGCGACUAUUUGAAGGGCCAAGUAGGAUUCGAACCUACAACCUUGCUCUGAUACCACAUAUUAAGAUCAUAAUCCUUAACCACUCUUCUAAAAGGUAAUUAUCCAAAAGGAGGAAUUUAUUAGCCUUUAUCCAUAAGGCAUAGAAUCCCGUAUCUAUAUGUAAUGCAGGUGGGCUUGGGGGGCUUUGCACUGGAGUCCACCCGCUUCAAGCUAGAUCGACCUCAGCGAUAGGUGGAGCAACAGUCUCCCUUUAAUCUUCCAACCGAGGGAUGAGCCGAACCUCCCAUAAGAGGUCGAUCCUCCGAGAAUUGUUACCACAUCACCAGCCACUUAAACGCCAUGUGGAGGCCUCGAAGGGUGUGCACUGAAAUAUAGACAACAUUUAGGUUACUCGAAAAUAUCAAGGAUAACCGGAUAUGGAGGGAGUUUCUUGUCCCCAAAGCAUGUGUUUUCAAAUUGUCAUUAAAUCUCGUGCAAAAGUAAAAUUUAGAGGAAUAUUGGUCGACUUAUGCAUCGAUAGUUGUAUAGGUGAUUUGUUGUACUAAUACAUUUGAUUUAUCUUGCUAACAUAAAUGACAUUCUCAAAAUUUUCAAUGAUAAAAUCUUCUACUAUUCUUCUUGAAAAUCGUGAUUUACUAUUUUUGAGGUGGAAUUAGAUUAAUAUAGUUGUAUUAUGAUUGUGUUGCUUAUGAGUACUUCUAUAUUUUUGUAUGCAAUGAUUAACAUCAUAGUUUACCAUGUAUUGGACUAUUUUAUCAUUAUUGUUCUAAUGUAGUAUCAUGUUACUUGAUAAACUCAAAUCAAAAUUGCCCAUUAAAUCUGUUGAACAUAUAGAACAAAGUUGUAGCUAGUUUAUAAUAUUGUACGUUGCUCUAGUCCCUUCGCAUUUCCAUCCAAUUCUUUAGGCAUGAGAAAAUCCAAAGAAAUACAAAAUCUCAUAGCAUAAUGACAUUGAAUAAGCAUUGAAAUUCUUAGUUACAUUGCUAAAAGUGGUUGAAACCUUAUUGAAGCAUAUAAUUUUGUGGUGAUUGAUAAUUAUACUAACCUAAUAAUUAGAUUAAUUUUCAAAGGUAGCCACUUCUAAAUAUCUGCAUUUAUGAGCUUCUUAGGUAUUAUAUAGCUCUAUGUUCAUAUACAAAAAAUCAUCAUCAAUGUCAUGAAUACUAAUUGUUGUAUAAAUUUUAAUAUUUACAAUCAAGGCCUUUUAAUAGAGAAAGUGUGGUUCCAUGGGAAAUACAAGAAGCUUAGAUAUUGAGCAAUCUUAUCUAAUGCGGUAUUAUUUACGCAUUGGGGAGAUUUUGGAUACAAGGUUAAAGUUUCGAUAGGAUGGAAGGUAUCUUAGCUAUCCUAUCCUAUUUUUGUGAGAAAAUAGAAUUAAGAUGGGGUCGGAACUCUGAAAUCCAUCCAUAUAGAGAGAGAAGAAGAAAAAAGAAAGAAAGAAGGAAGAAAAGAUAAAGAAAAAAAAAGCGAAGGAAAAGAAGAAGAGAAAAAAUGAAAGAAAGAAAGGAAUGGAUGAAAGAAGGAAGAAAGGAAAGAGAAAGAAGAAAAAAAGAAAAAAAGAAAGGUAGGGAUAAGGGAAGAAAGAAAAGAAGUAAAGAAAGGAAGGCGAAAAAAAGAGAGGAGUAAAGAAAAAAUAAAGAAAGAAAGGAAUGGGAGAAAGAUGGAGGAUAUUUAUUGAGUCACAUGACCGAAAUUGUCAGGAUAGGAUAGGAUAGCAGAACAUUUCAUUCUAUAGAGAAAUUGAAACGCCUCCAUCCCAUGAGAUUUAAAACCUUAGUUGGAUAUUUAGCUUUUGUGGAUGAGAUCCUAGAUCAUAAUAGUACUACUACUAUUAUCCUAUAAAUAUUUGUUGUCUGUUACUAUUAGCCUUUUAGCUAUAGUAUAUGUGCUAAUGUACAUGGCUGUCAAAAAAAUUAUACAUAAGAUGGAUGGACUUUAAAAAGUUUUUAAGAAGAUUAGAUGCUAAACAUAUCUCACAAGGUUAUCAAAAUUUUAUUUACUAUAUCAUGUUCUUAAUCUUUAUCACAUCUUACAAGGUUAGCUUUAUGGAUCUUUCUUCAAUAUUAUCAAUAAUUAAAAUCUUUAAAGGUAUUGAGUUUGUGGACUUAUAUCUCAUGAAAUCUUAGGAGGAUAUAUGAGUUCUUAAUUAUCCACAUGAAUUACUUGAAUGACUAAUUUUUGUUCUCAAAACAUUACCCAAACUGACUACUAGUUAUCCAAGUAUGCUUAUAAAUCACAGUGAUAAAAUUAUACUAUGAUAGUUGUUCAAAAUAAGCAGAAACUAGCCAAAACAUGAAAUUAAUUUUAUUAAUAGACUGAUCUUGGCCAAAAAAAUCUAAUUUGUUUCAAGUAAAAUAGAUUAGUUUUGAGCAAAAUAGGAAGCUUUGAUGCAUUCAUGAAUGCAUAUGGUAUGUUAAACACAAUUAUAUGCAUUUACAUUUGUAAUUUUGUUUGCACAUGCUUGUACAUGUGUGGCAUUUUUACAAGAAUUUCUUGUAAAUUUUCUAUACAAAUGGUGCUUAAUUGGUAGUAAUAAAGUAAGAUACAUCAGAUUGGAUCAUAAGGAAAAUUGUGGUGUGCUUAAAAAAAUAAAAAAAUUACUAUUAUAUAAUUAAAUAUAAAGGAUUUUGAAUUUGGACCCUAUAUUUUAGUUAGAUGUAUUAUGUUAUUUCUGUUCACCAUGUUUAUUUUGACAUAUUAUAAAAUGUAUAUUCGCUAUGAUAGAAGAAAAUUUGUUAGUGUUAUUGAAACAACAAAAAUGAAGAAUGAUUUUAUGGCUAUCAUAUGCAUGCCUAAACAACUAACUGGGCUAUGUUCUAUUGUCAAUGUCUCACUAAAGCUAUUUGACAACUUUGAAGAAGAGUCUAUCAUAAUAUAAGAAUUGAGUUACCACUAAUUUUCUUCUUCUAUUGACCAUGGUAUUAGAUAUUCUUGCUUUAAUUGCUUUUUGAUUUUAUAGAAAAUAUGUGCGAACACAAUCUAGGGUUUAGUAUCUUAUUUUGAAAAUGACUUGGGUAAGGUAUUAUGAUUUAUCAAGGAAUUCUUUUUGUUGCAUUUGAGAGCUUCCCCAUUACACUAAAAAAGAAUCCAGACUUUUCAGCUUCUUUAUUUUUCAAUUCUAGUAUAUUUUUGGCUUUUCUCCCUUACAAAAAUAAAUUCUAGGUGCUUCCACUAUUUCUCAAUUCAUUUUGUCUUUGUGCAUCAAUUUGAGAUGAUUUCUUGGCCAUGGACUUUUAGUAGAAAACCAAACAAUGUCAAAUAUCUGGUUUAUCUUUGAAGAUCUGAAUCAUAUCAUAUAUAACACUUAAAAAUUUGAUCUUCUAAGGCAUGUGUAACUGCCAGUAGUCCUAAAUUACAAUGGAUGCUUGGAGAUUGCAAAUUCUAUAAUUGUAGAACUAUUGCAUUUAUAUUGUAAAUAUUUGCUCACUAGAGUUUGGGAUUUAUGUAGGGACUUGCCCAACCAAAGGCUUCUCCCAUCUUUUUAUUUUUCAAAUUAUUCUGACAUGGCUAACAUAUAUUUAAUAUAUCAUAGAACUUAGUUUGGUUCUUGAUAGAUAGUAAAACCAUCCUUCAGAUAAAAUCUUUCAUCAAUUUUAUGAGCAUAGACUUGGUCUAAUAUUGCUAUCAUAGCCAAGUUGCUGUAUCAUAUAUCAAUUUAUCAUUAUUGUUCAUAGAUAUUUUAGAACAACUAAUUCAAUAUUUCGAUGUACUUUGAGCAUAAUUAAAAAUAAGAAUUGGCAGAUAAUACCCAUUGAAUAUAGGUGCCCUUUGUAAGAUAGAUUUUGUCCAGUGUGUCCUGGAGUUUUUUGUUUGAUCUCCUAUAUAUCCCAUUGAAGCUUUGAUAGAAAAUGGAUAGCAUGGAUCAAGGUACUACUUCAAUCAUCUAAUUCAGCAUUGGUUAUCAAUAAUUCUUUGGGAAAGUGGUGCCGUAACAAGAAGGGUCUAAAGCAAGUUAAUCCUCUCUCUCCCCUAUUAUUCAUUCUAGUAACCGAUUUCCUCACAAAAAUUAUGAAGAAAGCCAAUUCAGAAAAGCUGAUCUAUGGAAUUGGUCCACAUGGCUUAGAGCGGCUCACGCAGUGUCUACAAGUUGCUGAUGACACUCUGGUCUUUUGUAAAGUAGAUAAAUCAAACAUCAACUCACUCAAGUAAAUCUUGUAAAGUUUUGAAUUAGAAAUAGGUUUAAGCAUAAACUUUCAAAAAACUCAACUCAUCGGCUUGGGAAUCGAUGAGUAUUUAACUUUUAACCUUCGCUCAAUGCUCGGUUGUAAGGUAGCUAAGCUAUCCACUUGCUACUUGGGUAUUCCUCUUCAUCAUUCAAAGUUGAACAAAAAAAAUUGGUCCUUUCUCCUUGAUAAAAUAUCAAAGAAGCUGAGUGGAUGGAAAUGGAAGAUAUUGAUUCUUGCUGGUCAAAUUACGUUAACAAAUUUGGUACUUAGAGCCAUUCCCAUCUACUAGGAUGUUAGUGUUGAAGCUUCCUCCGGUGGUUAUUUGAAAAAUCAACCAUUUAUGCCGACAAUUUAUAUGGGAUAGCCAACAAUCUCAAAGCAACAUUAAACAUCUACUGGACUGGAAUCAAAUCUGCAGACCAAGAAGGCAUGGAGGAUUAGGAGUUUUAAGAAUCUCAUUACUCUCAAUCAGGCCUUCCUGCUCAAAUGGUGGUGGAGAUACUUUAACAAUCAGCAAAAGCCAUAGUGUCUGCUACUAAAAGCCAUUUAUCAUGCGAGAAGGUUGCCUAUGAAACUAUUGAGGUGCUUACUAAGAAUCACCUCACCUAUCUAAAGAAAUAUAUAUUAAACUUGUUUGAUCUGUUCAAACAGUAUUUUCACCCGAAGGUAGGCCAUGGGUGUCAAAUCCACUUUUGGCAUGAUAACUAGCUUGGGGAGAGCGAAUUAAAACUCUUCUUGCCUAAUCUAUUCUACUUUGCUAGAAACCAAAAUAGCUUGGUGAGAGAGUUCCUCCUUCAGAGCAAUUUCAAAAUGAAAUUCAGAUACCCACUAAGCCCGCAAGCAAUGAGGGAGCUCCAGAACCUUACAUUACUUCUCCGGUCUUCAUCUUUGUCCUCUGAUCCCAACAAAUGUAAUUGGAAGUAGAAUGCAAAUGGCAUAUAUCAAGUAAGACACUAUGAUAACUUUUUCAUGUACGGUAGAGUGAUCUCUCGCAUUGGUGAAUUCAUAUGCAAGCUUUCUAUCCUAGAGAAGGCUAAACUUCUCUUCUGAUUUUGUUAUCAUGACAAAAUUUUGACGGUAGAAAAAUUUAUCAGGAGAAAUAUCAACAUCAUAGGAAGAUACCCACUAUACGAUGAAAAUGAGGAAUCGUUGAACCACCUUCUGAUAUAGUGUGAUUAUUCCAAAGCCUUCUGGUCCACCAUUCUAUCAAAAUUUAAUGUUCCAGAACUACCAACCUCUGUCAUAGGAGUUUGGGAUUUUUUGGAGGCAUUUACAACAUAUGAACAAUAAUCGGUUUCCAGCUUUCCAAUGUUUAAUCGCUACUGGUGUGUGGUGUCUAUAGAAAAAAUGCAACCUCCAGAUUUUUCAUUUCUGAGCCACCAUGCCUCCUGCGGCGGUAAGGAAAGCAGUCAACUUGCCCAUUUCAGAGCUGGACUUCUAUCGUCUCUCAUCCAAAUGUUUGGCACCUGGUCAGUCAACUUGCCCAUUUAUCUAACACCAUUGGCAACCAGAGAAGUCUGUUGGGUUAAACUCUUCAAUGCUUGGUGAGCUUUAAGCAAAAGAGCCCUGCGUAAGAUAUCGUGCAUGGGGCGCAUCCUAGAGGCCGUCCUUCUACCCAAG
RNAcentral lists this long non-coding RNA (8713 nucleotides) under Elaeis guineensis (African oil palm). Its description in RNAcentral is "long non-coding RNA (EGUI_LNC040906)". Lineage: Eukaryota; Viridiplantae; Streptophyta; Magnoliopsida; Arecales; Arecaceae. The record is from RNAcentral.